UGCGAGGUCAAGCCUGGAGCAAGGUGUGAAAAGCAAGAGGGAGUAUUUUUAGCAUGUAGGAAAGAGAGCAACGCGCCGGUUCGCUGGAUGCAGGGCAGUCGGGAGCAGAUGGCGUACAAGCUUCUCAUGCUGUGCUCCCUGUAAAAACACCUCCGUCUUGAGGCUACUGCAGUCCUGGGCUCCCCAUCCUCCUCCUCCUCCUCCUCCUCAGCCCAGACCUUCCCUGGCUCAUUGCCCCCACCCUCGGCUCCUGGGGCAGCUCUCAGCAGGGGCUGGAGCGGGAGGCUGAUGAUGGUACACGAACCGGCACCUUGUGCAGGCUCCUGUUGAAGCCCCGUGCAAAGAAAUGGAUAGACUUCAGCCAUCAAUAAUAUCGCUGGAGGAGAAAAUUGAAGGGAUAUCUGCCCAAUUAAAUAACCUACAGGGCUGGAAUUGAGAAUCAAUGUGGCAUGAACGAUGAGGUAUGGACUACCGACGCUGAACACUAAAUCCACUGCAGCCUCGGAUUUAACAGAGAGAGAGGGAUGGGGAGGAAUACUGCAGCCGUGACUGCCCAGGCUGCGCGCGUCGGCCUUGGCGUGGCCGGGGAACAGCUCG
Chroicocephalus ridibundus (black-headed gull) is the source of this 597-nucleotide long non-coding RNA. RefSeq lists it as uncharacterized. The transcript is spliced from 3 exons. Lineage: Eukaryota; Metazoa; Chordata; Aves; Charadriiformes; Laridae. The record is from RefSeq and is a predicted model, not a curated record.